RNAcentral lists this ribosomal RNA (410 nucleotides) under uncultured bacterium. Its description in RNAcentral is "bacterial SSU rRNA". It matches the Rfam family "Bacterial small subunit ribosomal RNA", at positions 370 to 772 of the family's 1533-position model. The record is from RNAcentral.
AAUGGGCGCAAGCCUGAUCCAGCCAUGCCGCGUGAGUGAAGAAGGCCCUCGGGUUGUAAAGCUCUUUUGUUGGGGAAGAAAAGCCUUGGGUUAAUACCCUGAGGUUCUGACGGUACCCAAAGAAUAAGCACCGGCUAACUUCGUGCCAGCAGCCGCGGUAAUACGAAGGGUGCAAGCGUUACUCGGAAUUACUGGGCGUAAAGCGUGCGUAGGUGGUUCGUUAAGUCUGAUGUGAAAGCCCUGGGCUCAACCUGGGAAUUGCAUUGGAUACUGGCGAGCUAGAGUGCGGUAGAGGGUAGUGGAAUUCCCGGUGUAGCAGUGAAAUGCGUAGAGAUCGGGAGGAACAUCUGUGGCGAAGGCGACUGCCUGGACCAGCACUGACACUGAGGCACGAAAGCGUGGGGAGCAAA